Quercus lobata is the source of this 2856-nucleotide RNA transcript. It is a transcript of the gene named CDT1-like protein a, chloroplastic, with no coding region annotated. The transcript has 4 exons. The record is from RefSeq and is a predicted model, not a curated record. NCBI's taxonomy places the organism in Eukaryota, Viridiplantae, Streptophyta, Magnoliopsida, Fagales, Fagaceae.
UUCAGUUCAGUUAGAGGGAGAGAGAGAGAGAGAGUGAGAGAGAGUCAGAGAGAAAAAUGAAAUACCUUGAGGGAGGGAGCACCGGAGCAGCCGAGCAGGGAGCGAGCGAUCCGAUCUCAAGCGGCGUUGACGACGACGACGCGGAGGGGCGAGCGACGACGGGCGGAGGGGCGAGCGAGCGAUCCGAUGAAGCUUGAGAUCUCCGUCUGUUGCUCGGACCGAGCGAUCCGAUCUCAAGCGGCGACGGCAUUGAAAAGAACCCGUUGCUCUGUCUUUAGGUUCAUAUAUCCACCAAGCCUGAUGGCCAAGUAGCUAGGGGCUUGACGUGGAACCAUGCCAACUGUUUCUUGGAACAGUCUCCAUCUACUCAAGUGGAGAAGUUGUCUGGAUGGGAGAGACUCUCACAAAUCUCUCUCACAACUCUCUCUCUCUCUCUCUCUCUCUCUCUCUCGCUGUGUUACCAAUGGAGCCUUCAUCUUCAUCCAAAUCCAAAUCCAAGAAACCCCAUUCAAAACACUUCAACUCACCACACCAGCUGAGCUCCAAAACUCCAGAAAAACAGCCCACACAGCUCCCCGCAACCGCAGCGUCGCCCUCUCCGUCAACGAAGUCAGAAAAGUCGCCGAAACCCUCCGCCCCAACUCUCCGUCAGAAGGCAGAUCCAAUCCUCCCCAGAAAUCCUCGACCCUCACAAGUCCAAGAAACCGCUCCCCCAGCCCACUAAGCUACCCGAAGAGUAUGAACUUUUUUGGUUUAUACAGUGAUUUGAUUGGUUUAUUUGUUUUAGCUUUUAAUUAAUGUUUUUGGGUAUUUAUUUGUUCUAUGUGCAGGUAUGAGAUUCUUGCUCAGUUUUUUGAUAGCUUGGAUAGUUCUAUUCAGUUGUUGCGCUUGAAGGGUUCCUCAUCCUCUUUUACCAAUAUUUGCCCCAAAAUUAAGUGUUUAACUGAUUGGUAAAUUUUUAUGAAGUUAUGAACUUUGUUUUCCCUCUUUUUGGUUGCUUAGAAAAUAGAACCUUAAACGUUUGUUUGGAUUUGGGAAAAGCGUGUUUUUAAAAUGUAAUUCCGGCACUUGAAAACAGAAUAGAAACACAUUGCCCAAAAAGUUUUAAGAGGGAAAAUGUAUUCUCUCAAAACACAGAUUUUUCAGUUUUUUUAGAUCAGUUUUCAAAGACAAUUUUAAACCAUUCCUCCACAUGCUUCUUACAGUAAUUUCCAAAAAUCUAUUUCAUGCUUCUCCUCACUUUGCUUUUUCAAGCCGUGCACGUAAUGACUCAGGCCUUGACGUUUUAUUUAUAUUGCAAAAAAAAACAGAUAUUGGUAAAAGCAAGCUUAAUUUUGGGGCAAAUAUUGGUAAAAGAGGAUGAGGAACCCUUCGAGCGCAACAACCGAAUAGAAAUAUCCAAGCUAUCAAAAAACUGAGCAAGAAUCUCAUACCUGCACAUAGAACAAAUAAAUACCCAGAAACAUUAAUUAAAAGCUAAAACAAAUAAACCAAUCAAAUCACCGUAUAAACCAAAAAAGUUCAUACUCUUCGGGUAGCUUAGUGGGCUGGGGGAGCGGUUUCUUGGACUUGUGGGGGUCGGGGAUUUCUGGGGAGGAUUGGAUCUACCUUCUGACGGAGGAGUUGAGACGGAGGGUUUCAGCGACUUUUCUGUCUUCUAGAAUGCUUGAUGCUGCUUACAUAGGAACUUUUAUAUAUCAAGACAAUAAGUUGAACAUACAAAAAGCAAGCUUUCUAAUAAUCUUGCCAUGUAAUUUACAUAUUUCACAAAGACUUCAUCUUAAGCUCCUGAGUCUACUUCCACAACCGUGAGAUUGCCGGAUUUCUCUCGGGCAAAACGGAGGCAACAAAUGAUUGCUAGCCUGCCUAAGCUCUUCAACAUGAUUCACUUCUUAUUUCAGUCUAUUAAGCGGUCUGUUAUCACAAAAGAGGAGCUUAUACACAAGAUAAUUGCAAGCCAUUGUGAUAUUGUUGACAGAAGAGAAGUUGAAGAGCAGCUAAACCUCUUAAUAGAAUUAGUUCCGGAAUGGAUUUCAGAAAAGUUGGCAUCUGGAGGAGAUUUGCUCUUCUGGCGAGCCUUGUUAAUAUGUGAUAUGGUUGUGGAUGGAUCCAUUUUAAUUGUUAUAGAGAACAAAUGGAUAUUCAAAUAUUUGUCUUUAGAAGAUCAUAAAUUAUUCUUCAAGCAACAAAACUUAUUCAAAUUGUUUGAUGUCAUUAUCUGUUCUUUUUUGCAGUAUAAAUAAAACGUCAAGUCUUGAGUCAUUACGUGCACGGCUUGAAGAAGCAAAGUGAGGAAAAGCAUGAAAUAGAUUUUUGGAAAUUACUGUAAGAAGCAUGUGGAGGAAUGGUUUAAAAUUGUCUUUGUAAAUGUCAAUUCUUUGUUGUUAGCUGAUGAUCGUAGAGUAUAUUUUGGAAGUAGACUCAGGAGCUUAAGAUGAAGUCUUUGUGAAAUAUGUUAAUUACAUGGCAAGAUUAUUAGAAAGCUUGCUUUUUGUAUGAUCAACUUAUUGUCUUAAUAUAUAAAAGUUCCUAUGUAAGCAGCAUCAAGCAUUCUAGAAGUCCUUGGGAAGUUUUCCCUUGCGUCAAUGUCUUAGUAUUUUGUGUUUUUAUUGAUUGGGACCAGUGUAAGCUCUAUAAUUCCCUAAAACCUAAGUAAAUGCUUAUUAGCUGACAAAUGUUGUGUAUGGCUAUGUGAAUUGUGAUGUGUCUAGGUAUGUUAGGAGACUAGCAUUAUGUAUGAAAGGGGCACUAUACAUUGCUCCCCCACGGAAGUCCCCGCAAAAUUUGAGAACCAGCUUUGGAAUGGCUAUUGUAGUACCAUCAAUUUAUGUCUCUGCAAAGGAGACUCAAAAGGUG